Molecule: ribosomal RNA, 408 nt
Filed under: Triticum aestivum (bread wheat)
Lineage: Eukaryota; Viridiplantae; Streptophyta; Magnoliopsida; Poales; Poaceae
Description: partial small subunit ribosomal RNA
Source: RNAcentral
AUGGCCAUCUUCGACGAGUUCUAUGUUGGGUCCAUCGACCUCGGACGCCUCAACUAUGGGAUCAUCUCGCUCAUCCCCAAUGUCCCUGGGGCUUCCGACAUUCGCCAGUUCCGCCAGAUCACGGUCAUCAACGUGAUUUUUCGAAUUCUGGCGAAAGGGUUCGCCAAUAGGGUGACCCUGCUACCGGACCGCAUUACUCACCCCAACCAGUCCGCCUUUAUCCAAGGCCGGUAUAUCCUAGAUGGGGUGCUAGUUCUUCACGAAGUCCUCCAUGAGGUUCGCUCUAAGCACCUCAAGGCGGUGUUUCUGAAGAUCGAUUUUCAUAAAGCCUACAACACGGUCAGUUGGCCCUUCCUUCGGGAAGUUCUGCUCCGGAAAGGUUUUGACAACCGUGGGUCUCUAGAGUGA